AGGGAAGCAAAAUAGUGAUAUAGAGCAAAACCCUAAAAAACGGUCUCAGUUCGGAUUGAAGGCUGAAAUUCGCCCUCAUGAAGCUGGAAUUGCUAGUAAUCGCGGAUCAGCAUGCCGCGGUGAAUACGUUCUCGGGCCUUGUACACACCGCCCGUCACACCAUGGGAGUCGGUAACACCCGAAGUCUGUAGCCUGACGCAAGAGGGCGCAGCCGAAGGUGGGAUUGAUGACUGGGGUGAAGUCGUAACAAGGUAAC
RNAcentral lists this ribosomal RNA (256 nucleotides) under uncultured bacterium. Its description in RNAcentral is "partial 16S ribosomal RNA". It matches the Rfam family "Bacterial small subunit ribosomal RNA", at positions 1243 to 1500 of the family's 1533-position model. The record is from RNAcentral.